RNAcentral lists this ribosomal RNA (470 nucleotides) under uncultured bacterium. RNAcentral's name for it is "bacterial SSU rRNA". It matches the Rfam family "Bacterial small subunit ribosomal RNA", at positions 335 to 796 of the family's 1533-position model. The record is from RNAcentral.
UCCCUACGGGGGGCUGCAGUCGAGAAGCUUCGGCAAUGGGCGAAAGCCUGACCGAGCGACGCCGCGUGAGCGAAGAAGGCCCUAUGGGUUGUAAAGCUCUGUCAGAUUGGGAAGAAAACCUCGCGGUUAAUACCCGCGAGGCCUGACGGUACCAUCAGAGGAAGCACCGGCUAACCCCGUGCCAGCAGCCGCGGUAAUACGGGGGGUGCGAGCGUUGUUCGGAUUCACUGGGUAUAAAGGGUGCGCAGGCGGCCUGUUAAGUCAGAGGUGAAAUUCGUCGGCUCAACCGACGGACUGCCCCUGAAACUGACAGGCUUGAGUCCGGGAGAGGAAGGUGGAAUUCCAGGUGUAGCGGUGAAAUGCGUAAAUAUCUGGAGGAACACCGGUGGCGAAGGCGGCCUUCUGGCCCGGAACUGACGCUCAGGCACGAAAGCUAGGGGAGCGAACGGGAUUAGAUACCCCUGUAGUCG